Molecule: ribosomal RNA, 2336 nt
Filed under: Vibrio parahaemolyticus
Lineage: Bacteria; Pseudomonadati; Pseudomonadota; Gammaproteobacteria; Vibrionales; Vibrionaceae
Description: partial 23S ribosomal RNA
Rfam family: Bacterial large subunit ribosomal RNA
Source: RNAcentral
UUUGUAUAAUGGGUCAGCGACUUAUAUUCAGUGGCAAGGUUAACCAUCUAGGGGAGCCGUAGGGAAACCGAGUCUUAACUGGGCGUUCAGUCUCUGGAUAUAGACCCGAAACCAGGUGAUCUAGCCAUGGGCAGGUUGAAGGUUGAGUAACAUCAACUGGAGGACCGAACCGACUAAUGUUGAAAAAUUAGCGGAUGACUUGUGGCUAGGGGUGAAAGGCCAAUCAAACCUGGAGAUAGCUGGUUCUCCCCGAAAGCUAUUUAGGUAGCGCCUCGGACGAAUACUACUGGGGGUAGAGCACUGUUAAGGCUAGGGGGUCAUCCCGACUUACCAACCCUUUGCAAACUCCGAAUACCAGUAAGUACUAUCCGGGAGACACACGGCGGGUGCUAACGUCCGUCGUGGAGAGGGAAACAACCCAGACCGCCAGCUAAGGUCCCAAAUUACUACUAAGUGGGAAACGAUGUGGGAAGGCUCAGACAGCCAGGAUGUUGGCUUAGAAGCAGCCAUCAUUUAAAGAAAGCGUAAUAGCUCACUGGUCGAGUCGGCCUGCGCGGAAGAUGUAACGGGGCUAAGUAGUAAACCGAAGCUGCGGCAAUAUACUUUUGUAUAUUGGGUAGGGGAGCGUUCUGUAAGCGGUUGAAGGUGUGUGGUAACGCAUGCUGGACGUAUCAGAAGUGCGAAUGCUGACAUGAGUAACGAUAAAGGGGGUGAAAAACCUCCUCGCCGGAAGACCAAGGGUUCCUGUCCAACGUUAAUCGGGGCAGGGUAAGUCGACCCCUAAGGCGAGGCCGAAAGGCGUAGUCGAUGGGAAACGGGUUAAUAUUCCCGUACUUCUUACAAUUGCGAUGGGGGGACGGAGAAGGCUAGGUGGGCCUGGCGACGGUUGUCCAGGUUCAAGUGCGUAGGCUUAAGAGUUAGGUAAAUCCGGCUCUUUUUAAGGCUGAGACACGACGUCGAGCACCUACGGGUGUGAAGUCAUUGAUGCCAUGCUUCCAGGAAAAGCCUCUAAGCUUCAGAUUGUAAGGAAUCGUACCCCAAACCGACACAGGUGGUCGGGUAGAGAAUACCAAGGCGCUUGAGAGAACUCGGGUGAAGGAACUAGGCAAAAUGGUACCGUAACUUCGGGAGAAGGUACGCUCUCGACGGUGAAGUCCCUCGCGGAUGGAGCUAUUGAGAGUCGCAGAUACCAGGUGGCUGCAACUGUUUAUUAAAAACACAGCACUGUGCAAAAUCGUAAGAUGACGUAUACGGUGUGACGCCUGCCCGGUGCCGGAAGGUUAAUUGAUGGGGUUAGACUUCGGUCGAAGCUCUUGAUCGAAGCCCCGGUAAACGGCGGCCGUAACUAUAACGGUCCUAAGGUAGCGAAAUUCCUUGUCGGGUAAGUUCCGACCUGCACGAAUGGCGUAAUGAUGGCCACGCUGUCUCCACCCGAGACUCAGUGAAAUUGAAAUCGCUGUGAAGAUGCAGUGUACCCGCGGCUAGACGGAAAGACCCCGUGAACCUUUACUACAGCUUGGCACUGAACAUUGACCCUACAUGUGUAGGAUAGGUGGGAGGCUUUGAAGCACGUACGCCAGUAUGUGUGGAGCCGUCCUUGAAAUACCACCCUUGUAGUGUUGAUGUUCUAACGUCGACCCCUUAUCGGGGUUGCGGACAGUGCCUGGUGGGUAGUUUGACUGGGGCGGUCUCCUCCCAAAGAGUAACGGAGGAGCACGAAGGUGGGCUAAUCACGGUUGGACAUCGUGAGGUUAGUGCAAUGGCAUAAGCCCGCUUGACUGCGAGAAUGACAAUUCGAGCAGGUGCGAAAGCAGGUCAUAGUGAUCCGGUGGUUCUGAAUGGAAGGGCCAUCGCUCAACGGAUAAAAGGUACUCCGGGGAUAACAGGCUGAUACCGCCCAAGAGUUCAUAUCGACGGCGGUGUUUGGCACCUCGAUGUCGGCUCAUCACAUCCUGGGGCUGAAGUCGGUCCCAAGGGUAUGGCUGUUCGCCAUUUAAAGUGGUACGCGAGCUGGGUUUAGAACGUCGUGAGACAGUUCGGUCCCUAUCUGCCGUGGGCGUUGGAAGAUUGAAGGGGGCUGCUCCUAGUACGAGAGGACCGGAGUGGACGAACCUCUGGUGUUCGGGUUGUGUCGCCAGACGCAUUGCCCGGUAGCUAAGUUCGGAAUCGAUAACCGCUGAAAGCAUCUAAGCGGGAAGCGAGCCCUGAGAUGAGUCUUCCCUGAUACUUUAAGUAUCCUAAAGGGUUGUCGGAGACUACGACGUUGAUAGGUCAGGUGUGUAAGUGCUGUGAGGCAUUGAGCUAACUGAUACUAAUUGCCCGUGAGGCUUAACCAU